GAUGAACGCUGGCGGCGUGCCUAAUACAUGCAAGUCGAGCGAACGGACGAGAAGCUUGCUUCUCUGAUGUUAGCGGCGGACGGGUGAGUAACACGUGGAUAACCUACCUAUAAGACUGGGAUAACUUCGGGAAACCGGAGCUAAUACCGGAUAAUAUUUUGAACCGCAUGGUUCAAAAGUGAAAGACGGUCUUGCUGUCACUUAUAGAUGGAUCCGCGCUGCAUUAGCUAGUUGGUAAGGUAACGGCUUACCAAGGCAACGAUGCAUAGCCGACCUGAGAGGGUGAUCGGCCACACUGGAACUGAGACACGGUCCAGACUCCUACGGGAGGCAGCAGUAGGGAAUCUUCCGCAAUGGGCGAAAGCCUGACGGAGCAACGCCGCGUGAGUGAUGAAGGUCUUCGGAUCGUAAAACUCUGUUAUUAGGGAAGAACAUAUGUGUAAGUAACUGUGCACAUCUUGACGGUACCUAAUCAGAAAGCCACGGCUAACUACGUGCCAGCAGCCGCGGUAAUACGUAGGUGGCAAGCGUUAUCCGGAAUUAUUGGGCGUAAAGCGCGCGUAGGCGGUUUUUUAAGUCUGAUGUGAAAGCCCACGGCUCAACCGUGGAGGGUCAUUGGAAACUGGAAAACUUGAGUGCAGAAGAGGAAAGUGAAAUUCCAUGCGUAGCGGUGAAAUGCGCAGAGAUAUGGAGGAACACCAGUGGCGAAGGCGACUUUCUGGUCUGUAACUGACGCUGAUGUGCGAAAGCGUGGGGAUCAAACAGGAUUAGAUACCCUGGUAGUCCACGCCGUAAACGAUGAGUGCUAAGUGUUAGGGGGUUUCCGCCCCUUAGUGCUGCAGCUAACGCAUUAAGCACUCCGCCUGGGGAGUACGACCGCAAGGUUGAAACUCAAAGGAAUUGACGGGGACCCGCACAAGCGGUGGAGCAUGUGGUUUAAUUCGAAGCAACGCGAAGAACCUUACCAAAUCUUGACAUCCUUUGACAACUCUAGAGAUAGAGCCUUCCCCUUCGGGGGACAAAGUGACAGGUGGUGCAUGGUUGUCGUCAGCUCGUGUCGUGAGAUGUUGGGUUAAGUCCCGCAACGAGCGCAACCCUUAAGCUUAGUUGCCAUCAUUAAGUUGGGCACUCUAAGUUGACUGCCGGUGACAAACCGGAGGAAGGUGGGGAUGACGUCAAAUCAUCAUGCCCCUUAUGAUUUGGGCUACACACGUGCUACAAUGGACAAUACAAAGGGCAGCGAAACCGCGAGGUCAAGCAAAUCCCAUAAAGUUGUUCUCAGUUCGGAUUGUAGUCUGCAACUCGACUACAUGAAGCUGGAAUCGCUAGUAAUCGUAGAUCAGCAUGCUACGGUGAAUACGUUCCCGGGUCU
Molecule: ribosomal RNA, 1372 nt
Filed under: uncultured bacterium
Lineage: Bacteria
Description: bacterial SSU rRNA
Rfam family: Bacterial small subunit ribosomal RNA
Source: RNAcentral